AUGUGCGACACCAACAUUUUCAACAUUCUCAUAAACGUGAACUCCUUCUCUUUGAGCCAUCCUCAAUUACAUAUAUUGGAUGGGUCACUCUUUCAUUGUUGUUUCCUUCUUGUUGUCUACAUGAUACAUCUCGCGAACGGAGGAGCGACAUUGGUGAUUGGCUCUAUGGACCUUUACAUUAAGGAGCGCUCGCACUUAUUGGAUGCACCUUCGAACCUCCACUCUUGCCUCGACAUCGAGCAUUGGUACACCAACACCUCCAUAUUUGUUGAUUGUGCUCAUACAUGUCAUGCUCGAUGGACAUAUCAUACUUCCCACAAGUUUGCACCCCAUGCAUGGAUUGACUCACAUUAUGAUUGCCUUGUUGCAUCUUAUAUUCCAAUGUCAUCCAUGAUAUAUGAGCUUGUUCACUUCCUUAGCAAAUUUGUUGUGAUCUUCCUUGAUGGCAUAUUCAUACAUCAUGAUCAUAUUGUCCAUCAUCAAUUGCAUGAUAACAUAUACAUAUUGAGAAUCCAUUGCCAUGUUCAUGCUUUUGAUACACCAUCCCAUUAUGACAUCAUUUUGCACAAUGGUAGAAUUUGUCGCUUUGUGCACCAUGCUAAUUAUCCCAUGAAUGCUUUACAUCUCAUUCUACAUCUUUUGGAUAAGCAUCUUGUGCCUUGCCACGCACUAUCUUGCCGCACGGACUCAUUCUUACAUGAUGGACUCUUUGUGUGCGCUAACCAUUGUAUUUCCGAGGAUUGUUUGUGUUUGCUCCUUUUGCAUAUCUAUCACUCCGGCGACACCUUGGACUACUUGGAUUGCGCCAUGUCUUCAACUUCAUCCAACUACAACUCCGUCCACGACAACCGUUUUCAUGGUGAUGAGGAUCACGAUCCGAGGUCGGAUCUUUCCCAAGGGGGGGGGGGAGAUGAUGCGGAGCAUCCCACGUUCAUCCCCAUGUACACUCCGACUACUCCCCAAGCCCCAAGGAUCAUAAGAUGA
RNAcentral lists this ribosomal RNA (984 nucleotides) under Triticum aestivum (bread wheat). RNAcentral's name for it is "partial small subunit ribosomal RNA". The record is from RNAcentral. Lineage: Eukaryota; Viridiplantae; Streptophyta; Magnoliopsida; Poales; Poaceae.